This 494-nucleotide long non-coding RNA is filed under the name Gallus gallus (chicken). RNAcentral's name for it is "long non-coding RNA NONGGAT008240". The record is from RNAcentral. Lineage: Eukaryota; Metazoa; Chordata; Aves; Galliformes; Phasianidae.
GCGAAGCUCGGAGCCGGGUUUCCAUCGACACCCACGGGGACAGCCGUUUGACGGCGUCUCCGGGUUCGGUCCGUCGUUCGUCUGCUUCGGGAAAUCAGAGCACGGCGGAGAGAAAUUCGUGCAAAGGCAGAAGCGCCGCUCUCUGCGCAGGCAUAGGGGCGUCCAUAAGGGAGCGAAGACCUGAAGGGGAAGCAGGGAAAACGUGACUGGCAGAUGUGGAUUCCCAGUCUAAUGUCCACAUUGGCCUGCUACACCUGGCCAUGGGAUCCUGGGGCCAAAUAGGGGCCAACCCAGGCUCCCACAACGAUUUUCCUAGCGGGCUGACGACGUUUCCACUUUGACCAAGCACAGCCACUGAGGAGCAGCAACAAUUGCAGGAUGUGAAAUCUUUCUGUAUCAUUCUCCCUGCAAGUAGUAAGGAUACCAUGGAGCUGAGCUCUCUUCCGAAUCUCCGAACUGCUCCCCAGGAUUACUCUGUCUACCUCUGCUCAAAG